This 308-nucleotide long non-coding RNA is filed under the name Dromaius novaehollandiae (emu). Its description in RNAcentral is "lncRNA (ENSDNVG00000014339.1)". The record is from RNAcentral. Lineage: Eukaryota; Metazoa; Chordata; Aves; Casuariiformes; Dromaiidae.
GGCCAUUGUUCAGUUUUAACCUCUGAAAUUGUUCUUUGGCAAUUAUACUUUUAAUUUUUAAACAUGCUAAACAAAUUUUUUUGUCUUUUAAGAGGCCUACAGUCACUGGCUCAAGUCUUGUGAUGUGCUGUUUAUAACUGGACAGGCCUGGAAGUGGCUUAGUGCCUUCCACUCCUAUUUUAAGUCAGAAGCAACAGUAAGCUGAGCUGCCUCAAAGACUGAGUUGCUUCUCCAAAAGGAUGCUCAACUUGCAGCUGAGGUUAUUAACAAGGAGUGGAGCCAAAAAUUGGAAAUGUUUGGACUUGAAG